This is a long non-coding RNA of Sinocyclocheilus anshuiensis, 125 nucleotides long. RefSeq lists it as uncharacterized. The record is from RefSeq and is a predicted model, not a curated record. The transcript has 3 exons. NCBI's taxonomy places the organism in Eukaryota, Metazoa, Chordata, Actinopteri, Cypriniformes, Cyprinidae.
CAUGAACAUACUUGUACUUGACUUGAACAGACUUAACCAGGCAUGAACAGACUAAACUCACUGACAGCAGAUUACAACAUCAAUACACGACAAAGAACAAUGGGAACAUGAGGGCUAUUUGUACC